AAUAAACAAAACCAUGAGUUUCGUGCCAAACUUUGAUCAUCCGUUUUAUUUGAAUUUUUUAAUGAUUAGUAUUUUUAUUGUUAUUAGAUUAUAAAAUAUGAAUACCCCGCAAAAAAAACAUGAAUAGUAAUUUAUGUGUGAUUUAUGUUUUUUAGCUUUUUUAAAAAAAAUUAAAUAAGACAAACGAUUAAAGUUGUAUACGAAAACUUAUGGAUGCGCUUAUU
RNAcentral lists this microRNA precursor (224 nucleotides) under Oryza meridionalis. Its description in RNAcentral is "MIR812 microRNA precursor family". It matches the Rfam family "MIR812 microRNA precursor family". The record is from Rfam by way of RNAcentral. Lineage: Eukaryota; Viridiplantae; Streptophyta; Magnoliopsida; Poales; Poaceae.